RNAcentral lists this transfer RNA (69 nucleotides) under Ictidomys tridecemlineatus (thirteen-lined ground squirrel). Its description in RNAcentral is "Spermophilus tridecemlineatus (thirteen-lined ground squirrel) tRNA". It matches the Rfam family "tRNA". Rfam says of the family: Transfer RNA (tRNA) molecules are approximately 80 nucleotides in length. Their secondary structure includes four short double-helical elements and three loops (D, anti-codon, and T loops). The record is from Rfam by way of RNAcentral. Lineage: Eukaryota; Metazoa; Chordata; Mammalia; Rodentia; Sciuridae.
GGUGUUGUAGCUCAGUGGUAGAGCUCUUGCCUGGCAUGUGUGAGGCCCUGGGUUCGAUCCUCUGCACCA